GACGAACGCUGGCGGCGUGCUUAACACAUGCAAGUCGAACGGAAAGGCCUUGCUCUUGUGGUGCGCUCGAGUGGCGAACGGGUGUGACACGUGAGUGACACCUGCCUUUGAUUUGGGGAACACUUCAGGACACUGGGGCAUAUAGCGGAUAGGAGCCUCCGCCGCGUGGUGGGGGGUGGAGAGUUUCGGCGGGUGGGGAUGGGCUCGCGGCUUAUCAGCUUGUUGGUGGGGUAGUGGCUUACCAAGGCUUUGACGGGUAGCCGGCCUGAGAGGGUGACCGGCCACAUUGGGACUGAGAUACGGCCCAGACUCCUACGGGAGGCAGCAGUGGGGAAUAUUGCACAAUGGGCGGAAGCCUGAUGCAGCAACGCCGCGUGCGGGAUGACGGCCUUCGGGUUGUAAACCGCUUUCGCCUGUGACGAAGCGUGAGUGACGGUAAUGGGUAAAGAAGCACCGGCUAACUACGUG
This 468-nucleotide ribosomal RNA is filed under the name uncultured bacterium. RNAcentral describes it as "partial 16S ribosomal RNA". It matches the Rfam family "Bacterial small subunit ribosomal RNA", at positions 28 to 507 of the family's 1533-position model. The record is from RNAcentral.